This 467-nucleotide ribosomal RNA is filed under the name Kribbella sp. RNAcentral describes it as "bacterial SSU rRNA". It matches the Rfam family "Bacterial small subunit ribosomal RNA", at positions 43 to 524 of the family's 1533-position model. Lineage: Bacteria; Bacillati; Actinomycetota; Actinomycetes; Propionibacteriales; Kribbellaceae. The record is from RNAcentral.
CGUGCGCUGCUUACCUGCAGUCGAGCGGUAAGGCCCCUUCGGGGGUACACGAGCGGCGAACGGGUGAGUAACACGUGAGCAACCUACCCUCAACUUCGGGAUAAGCCUCGGAAACGGGGUCUAAUACCGGAUAUCACUUCCUGCUUCAUGGUGGGGGGUUGAAAGUUCUGGCGGUUGGGGAUGGGCUCGCGGCCUAUCAGCUUGUUGGUGGGGUAAUGGCCUACCAAGGCGUCGACGGGUAGCCGGCCUGAGAGGGCGACCGGCCACACUGGGACUGAGACACGGCCCAGACUCCUACGGGAGGCAGCAGUGGGGAAUAUUGCGCAAUGGACGGAAGUCUGACGCAGCAACGCCGCGUGAGGGAUGACGGCCUUCGGGUUGUAAACCUCUUUCAGCAGGGACGAAGCGAGAGUGACGGUACCUGCAGAAGAAGGACCGGCCAACUACGUGCCAGCAGCCGCGGUAAU